CAGUCGCCACGGUAAUACGUAGGUGGCAAGCGUUGUCCGGAAUUAUUGGGCGUAAAGCGCGCGCAGGUGGUUUAAUAAGUCUGAUGUGAAAGCCCACGGCUCAACCGUGGAGGGUCAUUGGAAACUGUUAAACUUGAGUGCAGGAGAGAAAAGUGGAAUUCCUAGUGUAGCGGCGAAAUGCGUAGAGAUUAGGAGGAACACCAGUGGCGAAGGCGGCUUUUUGGCCUGUAACUGACACUGAGGCGCGAAAGCGUGGGGAGCAAACAGGAUUAGAUACCCGCGUAGUCCCUGUCUCUUAUAC
RNAcentral lists this ribosomal RNA (301 nucleotides) under uncultured bacterium. RNAcentral's name for it is "partial 16S ribosomal RNA". It matches the Rfam family "Bacterial small subunit ribosomal RNA", at positions 509 to 807 of the family's 1533-position model. The record is from RNAcentral.